GUAGACGUGGCAGACAGAAAUCUAAACAUCACCCAAAGCAGUGAAGUCCCAGGCAUUAAUCUUCAACAAAUAUUUAUUGAAAUCUGGCAGUCCAGACAUGCUUAUUCCAGGAGAAGCUGACAAGUAAAAGAGGGAGAAAGAGAGACAGGCAUGCGACCAAGCACAGUUUAUUUUCACAAGCUGCAUGCUAGCGAACAAAGACCUAGGAGAGCACAUCAAAAAAGGCAAUAUGUUCUGGCUGGGGGCUUGGAGCAGUCUGGAAGAACUCACAGAAGUGAUGACAUUCAAAGAAGGCCUGAGGAAGUAAAGAAAUUCACCGGGCAGAGAAAGAAGGGAAGGACAUUUUACAUCAGAGUGGGAACAGCACGAGCAUAUCAUGGCAGCGAAGAGCAUAUGGCACUUUUAUGAUAGAACGUAAGAUGCAGAGGUGGGAAGGUGGCAGAGGACAUUCAAAAGUGACGUUGCAGUCAUAUUCUGAGGGAUCUGACAGAUGAGCUGUUAAGAAAUAUGGACUCUGUUCUAUCAGUAUUAUGAAAUCAUUGAAUCAUUCAUUCAUUGAAAUGGUAUUUUCGGAGGACUUACUAUGUGCUAAGUACUGUGUCAGCCUCUGAAGAUUAAAAUAAAAAGGAAGGCCCUCCAGGGACUCACAGUCUGGUAGGGAGAAAGGCAGGCAAACAGUCACAGUACGGAUAGCUGAGAAGUCCGUAUCAUUUUCAAUGCUACCAAUGGAUGACUGGAAGAAAGGAAAGAAUUGGCAGUUUGGACUUCACGCUAGGGACAAUGUAGCUCAAGAGAUAUGUGGGAGAUGAUACUGAUGUUUUUACAUUUGUCCAAAGAAAGAUUGAAUGAGAAACUUUGAUGUGGUCCAUAUCCUCAUUUUAUUGGCGGCUCAAAGCGCAUGUUACUUGAGAGGUAGAGGCGCCCAUGGUAAAGAACAAUGACCCAGGGAGAAGCUAUCUGGAGUUUGACACCGUGACGAUGGUACCUGCCUCCGAGUUGUUUGAGAGUGGCAACUGAGAAAGCAUUUGGGAAAACACACGGUUUUUUGCUGGGGUCUAAUAGCCGUGAAAACUCAAUAUACGUGCUUCCAUUUACUAUUCAACACCACACAAGGAAAUAUAGGUGAGUGAGAAUUGAAACCCGUAUCUACACAGAAGACCUGGGAGAUGACCUGAAUGUUUGCAGAGUCUGAAACAUAAACUAGAAAUGUUCUCUUGAAGACAACUCAAGUUCUUGUGUUUUGUCACCCUUGGCUUUUUACUCUGUAAACAGAAAAAUACUCAGUUAUUUGAACUUUCUUGUUACUGAGACUCUAGAUAAUUAAAGUUUCAUAUAUCCGUCUGGAAAGAUAGACAUCAGGUACCUUGUUACAUGGUGCUUUUCUUGAUGGCUAUGUGUUUAGUAACAUCAAAAGCAUGUUUACUAAGCAGGGAAAGGAGAGGCUGGAUUGAUGUUGGAGUCAGACAUCGCUCUCCAAUCUCCUCAGAAGGGUGCGGUGGUUUAAGUGUGGCUCAGAGAGUCACUGGAAUUUGGAAACUCCCGAAUUAAAGUAAUAAGCAUGUUGGGAUUCAAAUUUAGGCCGAAGAGAGAGGUUUGUCUGAGAAAACUCAACACCCUAUGAUAUCUACAAUUCUGCUCUUUGAUAUCAUUUCAUUUUGCAGUUUCAUAAGGAGUCUGUGAAAAUUCAGUCUCAAGUCAAAUAAAAAGAUUUUAAAAACAAGACUAUAUCUUGAAACUGUUUGCAAGUGUUACCAGAACUGGUGGUUCUGAAUACUGGAGUUGAAUUUCUCGCAGAGUUUCUAUUGUUAAUUUCCACUGUUAGUUUUACAAUUUUGUUCUAGAGGCCUGUUCUGGCCCAAACCUGACCAACAGGUUCCCAAUUAUGUGUAAAUUGAAAACGUGAAGGAGAAACAGCCGGCCAUGAUUUAGUACACAUUUUCAUGCUAAAACCAAACCAAACCAAACCAAAACAAUGCUAGAGAUUGCAGAAACAGAGUGUCUGUCUAGGAACACUGGGAUACUUGUGUUUAAAUGCAGGCAAGCAGACAUGUCACACAUGAUUCCCAUCCACCAUCUCCAUCCAGAGAGCCCGUGGUGAAGAUCAUCCCAUAAAUCAGAGAUGGAGGAUUUCGAGGCUGAUGAGUUUCUCAGAGCCCUUUUGCUGAUUUAGAUAUGGGUUCUGUCUCUCUCCAGUUAAACACUUUCUAUUCUCCAUUUCAGGAUUUGGGGAGAUUAGGAUUUGGGUGUCUUACCAGGUUCAAUACUGUGUACAUGCUACUGCUGCUGCUGGUCACUCUACAUUUAAGCCUUCUCAUAAUUCCUUUGAUUAGAAUUCAGACAGCUUUUUGUGGCCAUAAAAAAGAACUGAAGUCAUAUCCUCUGCAGAAACAUGGAUGGAGUUGGAGAACAUCAGCCUAAGUGCACUAACUCAGUCAGAAACAGAAAACCAAAUACCACGUGUUCUCACUGGAAAGUGGGAGCUAAAUAACCGGUACA
RNAcentral lists this long non-coding RNA (2496 nucleotides) under Homo sapiens (human). RNAcentral describes it as "HSALNT0392784". Lineage: Eukaryota; Metazoa; Chordata; Mammalia; Primates; Hominidae. The record is from RNAcentral.